Molecule: non-coding RNA, 45 nt
Organism: Schistosoma margrebowiei
Lineage: Eukaryota; Metazoa; Platyhelminthes; Trematoda; Strigeidida; Schistosomatidae
Source: Rfam
AUCCAGCUGACGAGUCCUAAAUACAACGAAACGCGCGUCCUGAGU